RNAcentral lists this small nucleolar RNA (93 nucleotides) under Triticum aestivum (bread wheat). RNAcentral describes it as "snoRNA snoZ221_snoR21b". It matches the Rfam family "Small nucleolar RNA Z221/R21b". Rfam says of the family: Z221 is a member of the C/D class of snoRNA which contain the C (UGAUGA) and D (CUGA) box motifs. Most of the members of the box C/D family function in directing site-specific 2'-O-methylation of substrate RNAs. The record is from Rfam by way of RNAcentral. RNAcentral also lists the same sequence under 1 other name. Lineage: Eukaryota; Viridiplantae; Streptophyta; Magnoliopsida; Poales; Poaceae.
AGGCUAUGAUGAGAAAAGUCAUGCACCACUCUGAAGAAAUUUUUCUCUUUGUGCUGAUAAAGCAAACUUACAACCCAUUUUACAUCUGAGCCA